Small nuclear RNA from Grammomys surdaster, 103 nucleotides. Lineage: Eukaryota; Metazoa; Chordata; Mammalia; Rodentia; Muridae. The record is from RefSeq and is a predicted model, not a curated record.
GGGCUAAUAUCCAACAGCACAUAUACUAAUAUUGGAAUGAUACAGAGAAGAUUAGCAUUGUCCCUGUGCAAAGAUGACACGCAAAUGCACAAAUUCAGUUUUA